CCUCCACUCCUGCCCCAAGAAACGGUGAAAUAGACACGAAGAAGGAAGCUGAGACCAGAGAGGGAAAGAGACUUGGCCAAGGCCCACAGCCUGGUGGGGAUGACUCCGUGGGCUGAGAGUCCCUAUCGAGGAGUCCCCGUCUUCCCCAGACCUUCUUGCUCAGCAGGGCCGUUGUAAAUGGAGGUGAGUUGGAGGUGAGUCAUUUAGACUCUCAGGAAACCAAGCCUAGUCCAAUAUUAAUCAUGGAACCAGAGACACUGAGUGCAAGAAGGAAAUGGAACCAACCGAUGGUGGCAGCAGCUUCAUCGGAGGUGCAGGCGAGGAGAGCGCACCCAUGGGUGCGUCCGUGCAGGGAGGUCUGAGAGUAAAAGUCCAAGAAAAGCCGAGUGCGGUGACUCACAUCUGUAAUCUCAGCACUUCGGGAAGCCAAGAGGGGCAGAUUGCUUGAGCCCAGGAGUUUGAGACCCGCCUGAGCAAGAUAGCAAAACCCCAUCUCUACUAAAAAUGCAAAAAUUAGCCAAGUGUGGUGGUACUUACUGUAAUUCCAGCUACUUGGUAGGCUGAGAAAGGAGGACUGCUUGAGCCCUAGAGGUCAAGACUGCAGUGAGACACGAUUGCACCACUGUACUCCAGGCUGGGUGAUAGAGCCAGACCCUGUCAAAAAAAAAAAAAAUCCAUGGGAAAACGGAUGCUCAGAGAAGAAAUUGGCCUAAGCCAUCCAGUAAGUUCCAGAUUCAAACCCAGGUUUGUGAGUCUAGAGUGAGCCUCUGCCCUGGUGGUCGCAGUUGCUAAAACUUGCAUCCCCAAAUCCCGUCGUCCUGAUGGCCAAAGGAUAGCCCACAUUUCUUGGUGCCUGGGACCUGCUCUGUGCUCCCCCAGAGCCAUCUGUUGUAAGGGAGUUUGCUCUAAGGGGAUUGGCCUUGUGUUUCCCGUUACCCACCCUCCCUGUCUCCUCCACAUGGGCCGAGUCUCUGACAAUCAGGCAGGAAGAGCCUCCGAGCCCAGGACCAGCGCUGGAGGAUUGGAAGGGGCCACAGGCACCCCUGUCUUCAAAUAAUGACUUGCAACUCAGAAUUUUCAAGAAACCAGCACACCCGAUCCCAUGAAGGCUGAGAACAUAGAGCCCUGAGGAAGAAACUGAUCAAGGGUCCAUCCAGGUCUUGAAGCUCCAUCACUAGUCACUCCCUUGGGUCAAGGAAUUGAAGGUCCCAGUUAAAAUGUAAAUCAUUCCUGGAGAAACCCCUUGCUAAGUCCCUGGCAGAUGUCGCAGGGGCUGGUUUCUCAGAAGAGCCUUGGUGGAGGGCAGGCCCUGGCAUUCUGAUGGCCCAGUGUGGCGAGAGGGUGUUGUGGAAGCACUUAGAUUCAGACCUGAGCUCAGCACCUUGGCUGAGAAGGCCCCAGGUGGGGCACCGGCCACCCCGUCACACUCCCUAGUGGACUCCUUUCUCUCCUGAUGCCACCAAGCUUGUCCCUGCCCCAGGGCCUUUGUGCUCGCUGGUCCCUCCGCCUGAAAACUUGUUCCCCCAGCUCUGCAAAGUGUUGUCCCUCUGAGAAAACUUCUGGGGUGACAGAUAUAGUGGUCAUCUUGGUUGUGGAGAAGGAUGUAUAUACAUGCCAACACUUACAAAAUGGUAUACUUUAAGUUGGUCAAGAUUACUGUGUGUCUAUUAUACCUCAAUGAAGCUAUUAACACACACACAUUUUAAAACCGCAGCUCCUGCUCAUCUUCAGGUGUUGGCUCAGAUGAACCUCCUCAGAGAGGCUUUUCCUGACCACCCCAGCUGAUGUUACCACUCUCUGCCACAUCGCCCUGUUCAUCAGGGACGUACCACAGUGUGGCAUCGUUUAUUUGCUCAUUGCUAACUUUCCCCGCCUGGGGAGCAGGGAUUGUGUCUGUCUGGUCCACUGACAUAAGCAGGGCUUGGCUUCAUGAAUCUUUAUUGAAUGACUUGAAUGACCAAGGACAGGGGUCCUAGCAGACAUGGCGGACGUCAGACUCACCUUCUGGGGCUGGUCUAGGGGUGUUCCAAGAACACCAAGCAAGGCUGAGAAGGGCAGGUACUGCUCUGAAAGUGAAACCCGGAACACAGCCAUGCUGCCAGCCCAUCUGCGCCAUCAUCCAUGCCGUGGGUGCCUGCAGAAAGUGCCAGCAGGGACCCUGUUCCUAGCAGGAGCUGCCCAUCAGCAUAUGGCAUUCAUUCAGAAAAUCCCUCUGGAAUCUCCCUGGUCAUUCCCUCCAUGUGGCUGGGAGUGGGUCUGCCCCACUCCCAGAAUCAUCCCUCCCUCCAAACAGGAGGCAGGAGGCCUGAAGGCCCAGUCUGGCCUGGGGCUCACCAGACACAAAACCCUGGCAAUGUGGAGAAACUAAGGCGUGGCCACAACUCAAGCCUCAGCUAGAUCUGGAGACUCAUGGGGACCUCCCCCUGAAGACUGGAACUGUGAUCUGGCCUGAGAAAAACCCAUCAGUUACCAUCCAUAACCCCCAUCGACUCAUGGUGAUUUCACUGGGUUCUGGUUUGCAUCAGACACUGGCCAGAGUGUGAGAGCUGAGGUGGGGGUCGCCACAUCCAGCAACCGCUCCCCUACCCCAGUUACACCGACCCUGAGGCCAAAGUCCCACAGCCAGUCAGUGCAGGGACAGCCCCCAGGCCCCAGCCUCCUGAGCCCCCACCCGGCCCCUCUGCCCUCGCCCGGCUUUAUUGUGUGUAUUUGCUGCUUGCUAUCAUUUUCCUUUUCCAGGCCUGUCACCAGGGGAGCAAAGCCUUGACCCCAAGCUUUCAGACUCUGGCAAGGGAGGCAGAUGGCAGGGGUCUCAAGGGUCUGCUUGGCUGUGACUGCAGAGGCUGAUGGAACAUCAGGGCUUUGGGAGCGGUCAGCGGCCUGUUUCAGUGCUGCACACACACACAUACACAUAUGCACACACACAUGCACACACACGUACACAUAGGCACACACACAUGCACACACACGUACACAUCUGUGUGAGCACACACUUGCCUCCCAGACUCAGCAUCCAUCAUCCCCAAUGCCCGGCCAGCUUAUCUACCUAUUACCUGAAAACAAUCCUGUUAUCUGUCCAAGGAGAUAGUGUGGAAAUAAAUGCUUAGCAAGAAA
This 3114-nucleotide long non-coding RNA is filed under the name Homo sapiens (human). RNAcentral's name for it is "HSALNT0001814". Lineage: Eukaryota; Metazoa; Chordata; Mammalia; Primates; Hominidae. The record is from RNAcentral.